AUGCAUAUAAUUUAUAAGUCUAUCGAAUAUAUUACUUUAAUGCAUAUAAUUUAAUAGAGUUAUUGAUUUAAGUUUUAAAUAAAAUAAAAUUGAACUGAUAGCCAAACAAUUAACCGAAAUAUCCAGAAACUUAGUAAAUAUCCAAAAUUAGUACCUAUAACUAUAAUUCUAAACUUAAAAUAUUAAUUAUUUUUAGAACCAAAACAAUCAAAUACUUUAAAUAAUCAAAAUAUCCAAAUAUUGUUAGUUAUAUUUGUGAAAAUUAAAUACUCUUUUAUAAAAUAGAACCAAAAUUUUAAUUUUCUUUUCUAAUAUUUUCCUCUUUGUAUUUUUUUUGUUAAGUUUGGUUAAAUUUGGUUAAAUUUGGUUAAUUUUAGUUAAUUUUGAAAGAAAGAAAAACGAAUCUGAAAAAAAUUUGGUUAGUUACGGUUAUCGAUUCAAAAAUGAGUUAUCGACUGUCACGUUAUCAAUACACGGAAGGGCUAUGUUGCAAGAUAUUUUUUAGAUUGUGGUUUGACCUGUAUUUAUUAGAUAUGAAGGUUUGUCUUGCAAAAAAAAAAAAAAUUGAGAGUUUUUUUCA
RNAcentral lists this small RNA (580 nucleotides) under Arabidopsis thaliana (thale cress). RNAcentral's name for it is "ATSL044610". Lineage: Eukaryota; Viridiplantae; Streptophyta; Magnoliopsida; Brassicales; Brassicaceae. The record is from RNAcentral.